Molecule: long non-coding RNA, 486 nt
Organism: Rosa chinensis
Lineage: Eukaryota; Viridiplantae; Streptophyta; Magnoliopsida; Rosales; Rosaceae
Exons: 3
Source: RefSeq, a predicted model, not a curated record
UCUAAGCUUCUUCUCUCUUUUAGAGCCGUCUGCUCCAAUCUCUCACGCGAGUCAAAAUCCACCUCACAAAUAACUGUGUUGCCGACCAUAACUUCCAAAACAAAGCCGACCCAGAAAACCACUUCUCAGACAACCGCAAAGCCACCAUCUUUGCUGCAGAACCAAGCUCAGAACCAAGAAAGAGGCGAGACGAAAGAAAGGGAGAACAGAACGGGGAAGAAGGAAGAGAAGGAGAAGAGACAGACUGGAAGCUCUUGAUUAAAAGAACACAAGUGGAAGGUGAUUGUUUUGAAUGACAGCGACAAAUUUUGUUUCCUGUUGUGACUAAACGUGGACGAAUGCUCUGCUUAUUUUGACCCUGCAACACUCAGAUCAAACUGCAUAAUUGUGCAGCUGACUCUGUGAGUUAGUUUCUCCUAACUUUCAUUCGGCAAAAUGAAAAAUUUUGGAUUAUAUGUAGUUUCUGAAAUGUGCAUAUAAUAUGAU